RNAcentral lists this small RNA (53 nucleotides) under pig gut metagenome. RNAcentral describes it as "Streptococcus sRNA SpF59 (ldcC RNA)". It matches the Rfam family "Streptococcus sRNA SpF59 (ldcC RNA)". The record is from RNAcentral.
GACCCUUCCCGAUGGGGAUGCAAGGCCGAACGGACAGCCGGGUCAAAUGCCGA